This 68-nucleotide transfer RNA is filed under the name Monodelphis domestica (gray short-tailed opossum). It matches the Rfam family "tRNA". From Rfam's summary of the family: Transfer RNA (tRNA) molecules are approximately 80 nucleotides in length. Their secondary structure includes four short double-helical elements and three loops (D, anti-codon, and T loops). Lineage: Eukaryota; Metazoa; Chordata; Mammalia; Didelphimorphia; Didelphidae. The record is from Rfam by way of RNAcentral.
UAGAAUGUGGUGUGAGAAAACAGAGAAUUUUGGGUUCUUAGAUGCAGGUUCAAUUCCUAUUGUUCUAG